RNAcentral lists this ribosomal RNA (406 nucleotides) under uncultured bacterium. RNAcentral's name for it is "partial 16S ribosomal RNA". It matches the Rfam family "Bacterial small subunit ribosomal RNA", at positions 30 to 526 of the family's 1533-position model. The record is from RNAcentral.
AUUGAACGCUGGCGGCAGGCUUAACACAUGCAAGUCGAGCGAGCGGCGGAGGGGUGAGUAAUGUCUGGGACACUGCCUGAUGGAGGGGGUUAACUACGGGAAACGGUAGCUAAUACCGCAUACCAUCAGAUGUGCCCAGAUGGGAUUAGCUAGUAGGUGGGGUAAUGGCUCACCUAGGCGCCGAUCCCUAGCUGGUCUGAGAGGAUGAUCAGCCACACUGGAACUGAGACACGGUCCAGACUCCUACGGGAGGCAGCAGUGGGGAAUAUUGCACAAUGGGCGCAAGCCUGACGCAGCCAUGCCGCGUGUGUGAAGAAGGCCUUCGGGUUGUAAAGCACUGUCAGUGAGGAGGCGGUACUCGAAGAAGAAGCACCGGCUAACUCCGUGCCAGCAGCCGCGGUAAUAC